UACAAACUAACUGAACUUCCACUGGGAACUUUCUACUGCUCCAAAAUCUGUUCUGAAUCUCUGUAAUCUCAUGCUAUUUUCUAUGUUCAGCAGCAUUGAGUUUGAACUUGAUCCAACCACAGAAGUAGGUCUUUAGGCCUUAUGAAAGGCCAACAAGGCUGCAUCAAUCUGAUCUCUGGAGGAAGCAUAAGGGUGGAUAAAUCAAUGAAUAAACAAAUGGAUUUGUUUAUUCAGAAGAAUGCAAAGAUCCUCUGAACCAUGGUUGCUCUUCAAGCUGGAUUUACAAAUCCAGGAGCUCCAGAUUGAGUACUAGGUUCGUUCUGAAGUAGCACCACUGCAUCCAGAACCAAGGAUGGAAGGUCCCCGGCAUCAGCAUGUUCAGACAUCCAAAGCUACUCAGUCUUGCUUGAAUUGCGCUGCAGCCUGUUGCAUCCCAUCCAGGCCCCCACAGCCUCUAGGCAUUGGGACAGGUUAUCUACAACAUCACUUAGAUGGCCUGGGGUAGAGAUAUAAAACCAAGUAUCAUCAGCAUACUCACUCCACCAUCAGAUGUCCUUUCUCAAUAACUUUAUGUAGAGGGUACAGAGACACCUUCUCCUCCCACCAACACUGUCUGGAACCAGUCCCAGAAGAAGGAGUAGAAUAUUUUCAUUUGCAUGGCUGAGAACUUCCCUCAUCAUUCUUGUCCCCCAACUCCUGGGACAAGACAGUUUCUCUGUACUCUCCAGUGACGUGCGAGAGGAGGAGAGGAUACUGUUAAUCUAACCCUAAUGAAUGAACAUGGAUUGACUGCUUUUACCAAUGCUUUUACCUAUACCUCUUCUCUAAAUCCAUGCAUUGUGUCAAUGAACAGAAAUCAAAGUGGCAUAACAGGAGGUCAGCUGCUUGUGAUAGGUAUUUCUUCAUUUUCCAACUAUACUCCAUUUGAUGUGAAGGUCAAAAUUGGGGAUACUGCAGUUCAAAUUCAAACAGUAACAGAUCAUGGAAUCAGUGUAUUGCUGCCUUCUCUUGCAGAAGGAUUGCAUAAGCUUUCAAUAUUCCUCCAUCAUCUCCCACUCAACACACGUGGGUAAGAGGCUUGAUUUUUCAUGGUUAAAAUUUGCAAGGUAAUAGAAUUUUAAGAGAAAUAAUAAGACAAAUGAGAAUGGAACCUGAUGCC
Thamnophis sirtalis is the source of this 1159-nucleotide non-coding RNA. The record is from RefSeq and is a predicted model, not a curated record. Lineage: Eukaryota; Metazoa; Chordata; Lepidosauria; Squamata; Natricidae.